This is a non-coding RNA of Nicotiana tabacum (common tobacco), 923 nucleotides long. The record is from RefSeq and is a predicted model, not a curated record. Lineage: Eukaryota; Viridiplantae; Streptophyta; Magnoliopsida; Solanales; Solanaceae.
GCCUGGCUGUCACUUUUAGGGCAUUUUGGUCAUUUCGAAUUUCUCCUAUUAAAAUACUAGGAGAUUCCGAUAAGUUUCACCAUUUAUGAACACAUAUCAGUCCACUUGUCCUUCUUCUGAUCUUCUGCUUCUUCUUCAUUACAACUGAGCGAUUGACAAUUUCUGUGGUACUUGACAAAAUUCUUCAAUGAUUCGAGCUUUCAUCCAGGAAGAGUUUGACAAAAUCUGACAAAACAGUGGUUCAUCAAUCCAUGGAGUGUCUGAUAUGUUUAUAGGUGCUUUGGGAGGAGGGCAGCUGGGUCGUAUGUUGUGUCAAGAAGUAUCCCAAAUAGCACUCAAAGUGAUUGUCUUGGACCCGAUGGAGAAUUGCCCGGCAAGUACAUUAGCACAUAUCAUGUGGUGAGAAGUUAUGAUGAUAGUGUCACCGUUAAAGAAUUUGGAAAAAGGUUUUUUGUUUUGGUCAAAUAUAUGUUUGCUGUUUUGACUAUUCUGCAAGUUAAUUUGAAUAUUAAAGUUACGUGCGGAGUUCUAAUAGUUGAGAUCGAGCAUGUUGAUGUGGGUACAUUUGAGAAGCUUGAACGUCAAGGUGUGGAUUGUGAACCUAAAGCCUCUACUAUUCGUAUAAUCCAGGAUAAAUAUCUUCAGAAGAUCUACUUUUCUCAACAUGCAAUUACACUUCCUAGAUUAUGCAGGGGAUCUGUUCGGUUGUCCUCUGAUGAUAAAGAACAGGAGGCUGGCGUAUGAUGGGCGUGGCAAUGCUGUAGCUAACAGUGAUGAGGAGAUCUCUUCUGCAAUUUAUGGUGAUACGUCUAUAAUUAUGUAAUGAUCAAGAUGUACAAAUUGACUCUUGUAGGUAUUAUGUAUUUUUUUACCAAACAUUUGAUGUGAUUGCUUCAUCAUGCAUAUUUGCGCAAAAAAAAUGC